Molecule: long non-coding RNA, 375 nt
Organism: Poecile atricapillus (Black-capped chickadee)
Lineage: Eukaryota; Metazoa; Chordata; Aves; Passeriformes; Paridae
Exons: 3
Source: RefSeq, a predicted model, not a curated record
GUCAGAGUUCUUGUGCAGUCUGAUGGAUUCAGUGGUGCUGUGAUAUCCACAUGCUCACACCGGUGCUCACACACAGACAGGUCUGUGUGCACACACCUGCGUGUUCAGGUACGGGGCAGGGGAGCCCAAGGGAGCCGUGAGCUCGACAGCUCUGCUGCCUCUUGGAAUGAGCACAGAGGCAGACAGGUGAAGAUGACACAUUUGUGGGCAGAGUUUGAGGUAUAGACGCCAGAAUAUUGCUCCACGUGGGAUUCAUUCUGCUGCUUCAGUGUGGAUUAGAGUCCAGAGUACCUCUGCUCUCCAGUGUGAUGCCUCCAGGCUCAUCCUGCCGGGGUUUUCCCAUUCCCGCUUCCCGGUCCCAGUGGAUGUGCUGGA